GACGAACGCUGGCGGCGUGCUUAACACAUGCAAGUCGAGCGAUGAAGCUCCUUCGGGAGUGGAUUAGCGGCGGACGGGUGAGUAACACGUGGGUAACCUGCCUCAUAGAGGGGAAUAGCCUUUCGAAAGGAAGAUUAAUACCGCAUAUGGUAGCUUUAUCGCAUGGUAGUGCUAUUAAAGGAGUAAUCCGCUAUGAGAUGGACCCGCGUCGCAUUAGCUAGUUGGUGAGGUAACGGCUCACCAAGGCGACGAUGCGUAGCCGACCUGAGAGGGUGAUCGGCCACAUUGGGACUGAGACACGGCCCAGACUCCUACGGGAGGCAGCAGUGGGGAAUAUUGCACAAUGGGGAAACCCUGAUGCAGCAACGCCGCGUGAGUGAUGACGGUCUUCGGAUUGUAAAGCUCUGUCUUUAGGGACGAUAAUGACGGUACCCUAAGGAGGAAGCCACGGCUAACUACGUGCCAGCAGCCGCGGUAAUGCACG
This 484-nucleotide ribosomal RNA is filed under the name uncultured bacterium. Its description in RNAcentral is "bacterial SSU rRNA". It matches the Rfam family "Bacterial small subunit ribosomal RNA", at positions 28 to 527 of the family's 1533-position model. The record is from RNAcentral.